AACGAACGCUGGCGGCAUGCCUAACACAUGCAAGUCGAACGAUUGCCUUCGGGUGAUAGUGGCGCACGGGUGCGUAACGCGUGGGAAUCUGCCCUUAGGUUCGGAAUAACAGCUGGAAACGGCUGCUAAUACCGGAUGAUAUCGCGAGAUCAAGGAUUUAUCGCCUGAGGAUGAGCCCGCGUUGGAUUAGGUAGUUGGUGGGGUAAAGGCCUACCAAGCCGACGAUCCAUAGCUGGUCUGAGAGGAUGAUCAGCCACACUGGGACUGAGACACGGCCCAGACUCCUUCCGGGGGCCGCCAUGGGGGAUAUUUGACCAUUGGCCGCAAGCUGGACCCGCCAUGCCGCGUUGGUGGUUGAGGGCCUAAGGUUGUAAAGCUUCUUUUCCCGGGGAGGUUAUGACCGGACCCGGGGGAUAAGCCCCGGCUAACUCCGUG
RNAcentral lists this ribosomal RNA (435 nucleotides) under uncultured bacterium. RNAcentral describes it as "partial 16S ribosomal RNA". It matches the Rfam family "Bacterial small subunit ribosomal RNA", at positions 29 to 507 of the family's 1533-position model. The record is from RNAcentral.